UGGCUUGAUGUGUUGUCUUAGCUAUUUCUGGGUUUUCUUGGAUGGUUUGUAUCUUCUUGUCAAGUUUUUCCACUCAACAUGCCACAUCUAGAAUGGGUAUAUUGGAGAGGUCUAUUGACCUGGCUUAGAAGGAUGCGCUCAUGUUAAGUUUUUCGUGGCUAUUAAUUUAAAAAAAAUUGCAUGCUUACUUUUAAAAAAAAAGUCUAAUUCAAAUCCACACUUGAAUUUAAAUAACCUGAUCAUAAUUUGCCAUCACACUCUCAAGAAGAUAAGAAGAAGAAAAGAGAGAGCAUAUAUACUAAUACAUUGCAUGCAUGCCAUGAUCACUAUUGCAGCAUGCAUAUAACUCACAAAUCCAUUAGAGAUAAAAAAAA
RNAcentral lists this unclassified non-coding RNA (374 nucleotides) under Hevea brasiliensis (rubber tree). Lineage: Eukaryota; Viridiplantae; Streptophyta; Magnoliopsida; Malpighiales; Euphorbiaceae. The record is from RNAcentral.